This is a long non-coding RNA of Brassica napus (rape), 4418 nucleotides long. RefSeq lists it as uncharacterized. Lineage: Eukaryota; Viridiplantae; Streptophyta; Magnoliopsida; Brassicales; Brassicaceae. The transcript is spliced from 11 exons. The record is from RefSeq and is a predicted model, not a curated record.
UGGGGUCAACUGACCCCCCUCCUCAUAUGCUGCCUCCGCCCCUGUUCACGCCUCUUCCCUUGCUGAUUCCGCCAUCGCCUCCUCCUCCUCAAUUCCAGCCGCGACGUCAGAGAAAUGCAAGAGGUCGUCUGUCAUGUGUUGGAUCACUUGAGAGAGGAAGGUCCACAUACUACGAAGAGAAGGUUCGAGACCGUUAAAGUUUUGCGUCUUUUAGCGAAUUUGAUGAUAACAAGAAUUUGUUGCACGAGAUCACUAGACUUUCACCUAAGGCGAAGAUAAGCUCUUUAUUAGUUCUCUUGACAUAUUGCAUUACGAGAAACAACAAAAAAAUGUAUGGCCUAAAUCACCAGGCAUCUCCUUCUGCUAUAUGAACCUAAUUUACUUAGAAUUCUGCUGAUAAUUAGUAAGAAGUAUACUUGAUAGAGUAAUAUCAAUAUUCAAUGUUUUGUAUGUUUGUGUUUUGUCUAGGAUUAGUCUCUUCAGUUUGUUCAAAGUGCUUCUCUUCAGAUUGAUCAUAUAAUUUGGAAGCUUAAUUAAAUCUAUUAUAUUGGCUCUGUGUUUGAUUAUCUUUUCUCUAGGCACUUCUCUCCCGAGAUGUUCAGUCCAACAUUGCUCCAGCAAGUAGUGAACGUUACGGCAUAACAAGUCAACAAUACGAGGUACUGAAGCUGCAACGUGCUCUCAAGCAAGACCCCAUGGUGCAGCCUUCAUAGCACUGGGGUUGAUGUCUUAUAUGCCAUGCCAUGGAUCUCACCUUUCUUAAGAGCUGCGUUGCUUUUCCUAACUUUCUUCCUUAUCUGCGAUCUAGCUCUUGCUCAGUUUCCUCCCUCUUCAAUCCAAGGGACAAGCAACUGGGUUGGUCGGUUUCAUUUGACUGAAUCUUGCAGCAAUGAACAUGGUUUCUCACACUCAAAUUACCAAAAGAAGAAGAAGGUUCUCUCUCAAAUAUACACUGCAUAGGACAGAAAUUGAUCGGGUCUUCUUUUGGAAAUCUGGAAUACAUGGAUGGGGCCUUUCUGCCAGCAGAAUUAUCUAUGAAUGUGGCCAUGUGGGUUUUGUCUGUUUUUUUAUAGAGAGGGAAUGAUGAUAGACAAUAUUUUUUUUUUCAGAUUCUUAAAUACAGACUGGAAUAGGUGAGACGUACCAUUGCAGACCUGAGAGAAGGGAAAAUGCUAUAUGACUGUUCAAGAUCAGUGAGAAAGUAGUUGUUGAUGCUACAAAUAAAGGGAAUAUAGCUCGGCUUAUCAACCAUUAGUAAGCUGUUCUAUGACAUGAUGUAAAUUUUCAAAGUUAGGAGUGACUGCGCUAAGACCCUUUUAGGAGAUUUUGUUACACUGCAAUAACUCAGUGAGACGUUUUUACUUUUACUCCCUCACAAGGUAACACUCAGAAGGCAUCUUACUUUGUUCCAUGUAGUAUUUCUUUUCAUUAGAAUAUAUGCUUGGUUUCAUCACUCCUUCCAAGUAUAAGAUGCAGCGGUUUGUGACGUGCAAUAAUGGUAAACACACACAUGCGUUGUGUGCCGAAUAUUUAAUAAACUUUAGAGACCGGUUUUCUGUAAGCUGGAAUUGGUCAAAGCCAUGUAAACAAAAUUAUAAUGUUCAUCUAACGUUGUGUGCCGAAAAUUUAACUAUGUUUUAUAUGUUGAUGUCAUAGCCAGAUAAAAUCAAUAAAUAAACACAAGAAGUCAUCAGUUUUCAUGUGAAAAUCAGUACACAGUAUAGAUUUCAGAAUAUUUGUACAAUGUGAUUGGUUAGAUAUCAGAGUAAUAAGGUGGAAAAUAUGGUGAAAAUGAGAGGGAUGAAAAUAAAUAAAUUUGAAAAAAAAAUUCAUUUCAUUAAAUUUGAGUUAAGAUAUACCCUGUUUAUUGUUUUCUCACUAUUUAAGUUAUAAUAAUUUUUUAUUUGAUUGGGUGAAAUUAGAGUAAAUAAGUUAAAAAUAAAUUGUCACCUACUUUAAUUUACUCUAGCUCUAAUCCCACGUACCCGUAAUGUAAUAUACGAAAAUCUAUUUAUAACUGACCACAUCAAAAAAUAAUUUGCUUAUAUUAUUAGGUAACUAUCGUAUUCCAAAAUCAAUACGUGAAAGUACAUCAAUACAAUACUAAAAGGGGAAUAAGGGCUCCACUCAUGCUUGCACAUCCUCAAAAAUAAUCAGCCAAUCAAAUAUCAUUUUUUUGCCACAUCACCAAUCAGCUUUCUCAAAAGAAUCGCGUCUCUUUCGAUUGUCGUCUCAUCUUUUCUCCUCAAGCAAAAAACGAUUGUCUUCUCAACUCCCAUACUUUCCUCCAUCAUUCAUAAUUAUCUUUUAAUCCAACCCAUAGAAUCUCUAACAAUAGAUUGAUUCGUCUGUUUGAUUCAAUUUCAUCACCAUCCACAACCGAGACGAGGACGAGGACGAGCAGAAAACUCGAGACUUGGUACCGUCAGAUCGACUGGAGAAUCUGUUCCACCAGUGAAACUGUUCUCAGCGAGGUUAAGCCUCACGAGGUUUGUGAGACUGAACAAGCUCUCGGGUAUUUGCCGGAGAAUUUGUUUCCUUGCAGGUAGAGGUGACGGAGAUCGGAGGAGGUGGUUAGAUCGAGAGGGAGAGAGCCGGCGAGGGUGUUGAGACGGAGGCUCAGUGUUCGGAGACGAGUUAAGUUUCCGAAAACACCGUUCGGGAUGGUGCCGGAGAGAGAGAUGCCGGGAGACGGAGGGCGGUGACUCUGUUGUUGUCGCAUUUUACGCCGGCCCAGUUGCACGGCGAGGUGUGUCUGAUGUCCCAGCAGAAUGUGCGGCCGCCGACGGAGGAACGGAGAGAGAGAAGAGCGGCUCUUUCGGCGUUGAGGUCUUGGGUUGAAGGGAGAGGGAGAGAGAGUAGGAGGGUUGUGAGGAGAACAGAGAGAAUCGUCAUGGAGGAGUUGGGGAAGACUCGCAUUGUGCGAUGAUUCAUAGAAGGAGAAGGAGAGAGAGAGAGAGAGAUAGACGGUAGAAGAAAGAGAAGGCUCUUUUGUAGACGAUGAAUUACCACAGACGGUGUUAGAGGCGCCAUGGAGAUUCGAGCUUUUAUUUGCAAGUCAGAUCACUCUAAUUCGCUUGAAGUUUUCUCCGACGAUGGUAAAUCAGCAGCUCCAUUAUUUUGAGCUAAAGGCGUGGAUCUCCAAAUGGUCGAUCGAAAGUCCACUUUGAUCCAGGGUUCAGUCAACGUGCAUAGGCUCAAUGCAUUCAGAAACCUCAUAAAAGAAGAUAUUGUUGGUGAAUGGGAAUUAAAACAGCUUACAAUGAAGAAACCCAACAAAAUUAAACGUAUUAUGGCAAUAGUAUGCAUUCAAAGGUCAUCUUUUUUUUCUGAAUGCAACCUCAGCGACACAUUUCUACUCUGACCAUCAGUGUGAGGCCAGCGCCAAAUACCUGAGGGAUAAGGGUGGUAACCAGUAACGAGAGAGCUCUUCCUCAACUCCAACAAAAUUUGGAGCGUUGAAAAAGAUAGAAUCGGUAAUUUCGGAACUGAAUGGCUUUGUCCUCAACUCCUCUCCACAGGUUAAAACCUCACUAGAACUUACUUAGAUUGAAGCAGAUUGCUGAAUUCCUAUACACCGGGGAAGUGACAAACAUUGAAACAGCUCAUUAGUGUUAUAUCUCAUGUUCCAAUUGUUGCCAUCAACUUCAGCGUGGCUUCUCAUCCUUUACAUGUGGACUAUGUAAUGGGGAAAAUGUUGCUUUGAGUGUUAAGGUUCCGACGUCUCAGAGUCUGCCAUGUUUGUGUGUUUUGAUGGUGAGAUGAACAAGCUAACAAAUGUUUCAGCUGCAGCAGUGUCGCAGGGUGGUCCAAUGGAAGAUACACAGAACAUUUCCCUCCCACAAUGCCUGUGAGAUAUUGUGGGUAUGACCUUUACAUUACCUGUGAAGGUGUCGCAGUUUAAUUUCUCUUCAAAGCAUAAGUCGUUUACAAUUGCACGGAUUUUCGAACUCGACCAACGCCUACGCCUUCCUAAUUUUGAGCAACAUGGAGGUGAUGACAACCCAGGCGAUGAUAUGGGUAGGAGUUGGAGCUCUUUCCACAUUCAAAUCAAACUGAGUUAACACUGGUGUAGCUGUCAACAAUUCUGGAAUCAUAGAAGGCUUGCAGGUUAAAGGCCUCCCAUGAGAAGGUAGUGAAGAAAAUAGUCAUGGUAAAAUUGACCUGUCUCUGGAGGAGACUGGUCUGCCUUCUGCAAAUAAGCCACGUAAACUGAGGCCAUGGCAAUGUUGUGUUGCGGCACAACUACUUUUCUAUGUUUUAUUUUAAAUUAUACCCAUCUUUGAAUAAGCACUCAUUUAAAUUCUAUCGCUACUUAUUUUUUUGUAACACAACUAUCUAUACGUUUUUGUUUUUGUUUUGUUUAUUGUUAUCUUUUAAACAGCCUUCCGCAAAUGGCAAUGAAUCUUUGUUUCCUC